UUUAAACGGAAAACAGCCAUUAGUAGACUUGAGAUUUUUCACACAGAACAAUGCUAUCUGUGUUGUUGUGUGUUCGAAAGCAUUAAUGAGUUUUGGUUUAAAGCUUUUACACAAUACAAUUGAUACUUAGAAUCCAUAUUUCAAAAUGUGUAACGGUUUUCACAUAUUUGCGAAAACGAGAUAUCAAAAUGUCUACAAAUAUGAACUCGUAAAGUAAUUCAAGGUAAGCCGUGAUGUAGUCUAGCCAUCUAGUGCAAGAAAAGAAUUGAAAUGAAAAUAAAAAGAAUUGAAAUAAAAAAA
Long non-coding RNA from Bombyx mori (domestic silkworm), 300 nucleotides. RefSeq lists it as uncharacterized. The transcript has 2 exons. The record is from RefSeq and is a predicted model, not a curated record. Lineage: Eukaryota; Metazoa; Arthropoda; Insecta; Lepidoptera; Bombycidae.